UACGGGAGGCAGCAGGGGGGAAUAUUGCACAAUGGGCGCAAGCCUGAUGCAGCCAUGUCGCGUGUAUGAAGAAGGCCUUCGGGUUGUAAAGUACUUUCAGUCGUGAGGAAGGUGUUAAGGUUAAUAACCUUAGCAAUUGACGUUAGCGACAGAAGAAGCACCGGCUAACUCCGUGCCAGCAGCCGCGGUAAUACGGAGGGUGCGAGCGUUAAUCGGAAUUACUGGGCGUAAAGGGCACGCAGGCGGUUAAUUAAGUUGGAUGUGAAAUCCCCGGGCUUAACCUGGGAAUGGCAUUCAAGACUGGUUAGCUAGAGUCUUGUAGAGGGGGUAGAAUUCCAUGUGUAGCGGUGAAAUGCGUAGAGAUGUGGAGGAAUACCGGUGGCGAAGGCGGCCCCGUGGACAAAGACUGACGCUCAUGUGCGAAAGCGUGGGGAGCAAACAGGGA
RNAcentral lists this ribosomal RNA (445 nucleotides) under uncultured bacterium. Its description in RNAcentral is "bacterial SSU rRNA". It matches the Rfam family "Bacterial small subunit ribosomal RNA", at positions 340 to 778 of the family's 1533-position model. The record is from RNAcentral.